This is a non-coding RNA of Pelobates cultripes (western spadefoot toad), 421 nucleotides long. The record is from the annotation of a GenBank genome assembly. Lineage: Eukaryota; Metazoa; Chordata; Amphibia; Anura; Pelobatidae.
GAGUGACAGUGUGUGUGAGUGACAAAAUGUGUGUGUCUGUGAGUGACUGUGUGUUUGAGUGACAGAGUGUGUGUGUCUGUGAGUGACUGAGCGUGUGUGUCUGUGAGUGACUGUGUGUGUGAGUGACAGAGUGUGUGUGUCUGUGAGUGACUGUGUGUGUGAGUGACAGAGUGUGUGUGUCUGUGAGUGACUGAGCGUGUGUGUCUGUGAGUGAGUAUGUGUAUCUGAGUGACUGAGCGUGUGUCUGUGAGUGACAGUGUGUGUGUGUGACAAAGUGUGUGUGUCUGUGAGUGACUGUGUGUUUGAGUGACAGAGUGUGUGUGUCUGUGAGUGACUGAGCGUGUGUGUCUGUGAGUGACUGUGUGUGUGAGUGACAGAGUGUGUGUGUCUGUGAGUGACUGUGUGUGUGAGUGACAGAGUG